This 253-nucleotide ribosomal RNA is filed under the name uncultured bacterium. RNAcentral describes it as "partial 16S ribosomal RNA". It matches the Rfam family "Bacterial small subunit ribosomal RNA", at positions 524 to 776 of the family's 1533-position model. The record is from RNAcentral.
UACGGAGGGUGCGAGCGUUGUCCGGAAUCACUGGGCGUAAAGGGCGCGUAGGCGGCGCGGGCAGUCAACGGUGAAAGCUCGGGGCUCAACUCCGAGUCGGCCGUCGAUACUCCCGCGCUCGAGCACUGUAGAGGCAGGUGGAAUUCCGGGUGUAGCGGUGGAAUGCGUAGAGAUCCGGAAGAACACCGGAGGCGAAGGCGGCUCACUGGGCCGGAUCCGACACUGAGGCGCGAAAGCGUGGGGAGCAAACAGG